GAGAAAAAAAAUUGUGCUUUUUAGAAUAUCGCACUUUCAUUUUGAAAGUUAUUCAUUUCUUGUAAUUUUGAGUAGCGAAACAUUUACUCUGAGAACAAAACUUUCUAUUUCAAAGUUUUUUUGUCAAUGGAACAUUGUACCUUUGAAAGCGGAAAUUUUUAAACUGAGAGGUAUAAAGAUUUUAAAUGAACUCUUAAUUUUCGUGGUUUGGCAACACUGGAUAUGAUUUAAAAAACACUUUGGCAACCAAACGAGCUGUCAACGUCUCGGCUUUAGAAAUUAUUCCCGGCGUUUUAAGAAGAAGGCAAGUGCUCCUCAAGGCCUGAAUAAAUUUCUUGGACGAUCUGAAUGGACUACCAGGAUCGUCGUAGAUGUGGACUGGCUUCGGAAGAGACCAUCAAACACCCUAAUUUAAUCGAGUAUCUGGCUGUCAACAUCCAACGAUUGAAGCUAUUACUUUACAUCCAACAGAGGAUAAAAAUCUCGCGACAAAAUCCCGUUGGAACGCCGAGCAACGAAUUUCACCAACCAAAAGUUUGCCGCUGGCACCCCGAAACGCGACUCUGAAUUGUAAAUGUAUAUGUAAACCGAAGGAAAAGCCUUUUUAAAUGAUAAAGAGAUAAUAAAAUAGAAACAAAGUUAUCAAUUCUGAAUGUUUUUAUCUUUAAUUUGGCAAUUUUGAUUACAAAAAUGCGCCUGUA
Molecule: long non-coding RNA, 701 nt
Organism: Armigeres subalbatus
Lineage: Eukaryota; Metazoa; Arthropoda; Insecta; Diptera; Culicidae
Exons: 3
Source: RefSeq, a predicted model, not a curated record